UACGUAGGUGGCAAGCGUUGUCCGGAAUUACUGGGUGUAAAGGGCGUGUAGGCGGGGAUGCAAGUCAGAUGUGAAAUUCCGGGGCUCAACUCCGGAGCUGCAUCUGAAACUGUAUCUCUUGAGUGUUGGAGAGGAAAGUGGAAUUCCUAGUGUAGCGGUGAAAUGCGUAGAGAUUAGGAGGAACACCAGUGGCGAAGGCGGCUUUCUGGACAAUAACUGACGCUGAGGCGCGAAAGCGUGGGGAGCAAACAGGAUUAGAUA
This 261-nucleotide ribosomal RNA is filed under the name uncultured prokaryote. RNAcentral describes it as "partial 16S ribosomal RNA". It matches the Rfam family "Bacterial small subunit ribosomal RNA", at positions 524 to 784 of the family's 1533-position model. The record is from RNAcentral.